CAACCUUUAUUCUGUUUGAAGAUCUAAUACAAUGCAUUAAAGCAACUUAAAACAAGACAUAGCUCCAUUGAAUCUAUAACUUGAACGAAAUGUCAAGGAGGCACACUACCCCCACCCCCCACCCCAGUUGCCUUGUGAAGGCAAAGUUACAACUGACCGUGACAUCCUCCCUCUCGUCAAAAGACCAACUUUAUUUUAACAAUGUCAUAUAAACAGAUUUUUAAAAACAUUGAACAGAUUGUAGCUUUAAAAAAUACACAGGUAUAAAUGAGUUUUUUUUUGUUUUGAUUUUUUUAAAUACAUAUAUAUAUGUGCAUAUAUAUACAUAUAUGUAUAUACAUAUAUAUAUACACAUAUAUAUAUAUAUACACACACAUAUAUAUAUAUAUAUAUAUAUAUAUAUAUAUAUAUACACACACACACACACACACACACAUAUAUAUAUAUAUAUAUAUAUAUAGCAGCAUCCUGGGCAGCUAAUGCUAUCUCAUGGUGACAAGUUUCAUGUUAAGUUGGAUAGUCUUUCCAAUUGACUCAAUUCUAUUUCCUCCCCACCCAUAAUACCAGUAUUUUAUAGAACUAGCUUUUUAAAAAAUAAGAAUUUGGCAUUUUGGAACUUUGUCCCAUGUGAGACAUUGUGCUUUAAACUGCCCCUUUCUAAAAAUGACCCUAAACUCAAACAGAUCUCAGUGUCUGCGUUUCAACUAACUUGGAUACCAUACAUAGCAAAAGCACAGUUGUUAAAACCAGCAGAUUUUUUCUUCCAAAGGAACAUCAGUAGGACUUCCCAAACAUGUUACUAGUUCAUAACCAGCUAUAUGACAAAGCAAUUGGUUCCCCACAGUGACAGCUCACAUAAACACAUUUUGACUCGACACACUGAAAACAAGGAUUUCCAAGCUAAGCAAGUCAUCAGACCAGCUCCCUAAAAGGAGUAACUUUUAAAAACACAAAAAAGCCAAAGAAAUAUGAACUUCUCACUUCACUUACAAACAAUUUUCACCUUUGUAAGACAAAACAAAGCAACCUCAAAGGGAAAAAUCCCAUACACAUAAGUAAGAAUUGUACUAGACGUUCGCUUGUUAUGUACUUUAUGUACUUGAACUCAACAACUACUGUGGAUCUGUUUUGGCUGAAAGGUGUACUGGAAACACAGUCCAUGCACAUAUACAUAUAUACAUUUAUCAAAGGCCAUGAAGUUAUCAGAUGUUGCAAACACAUGCUUUUUGCCUUUUCACAUGGUUAUGAUCUCUCGUGUGUGUAAUGUGAGGUCCCAAUGCUCCCACUUCUACGCCCAAUCACAGCCUCACUGCAGCUUAGCUUCUGGCUUUAUCUUUAGGAUGCUACACUGGGUGGGAAAAACUGACGCAUGGAUAAAAAUCAUAUAUCAGGAGUGCCUCUGCUGUAUCUAUUCAUAUUCAGCCGUUCAGACAAUAUUGUUAGGACUGUCUGAUGAAAUCCAAAGUGGCCGGCUAGCAAAGUAUCUAAAACGACAAAUGCGGUGGGCAAGCUACACUGUAAUCAAAAAGGCAUUGGGCAGAACAGGUCUGGUGUAACUCAAGUCAUAUGGAAUGAUGAAUCCUACUUUGCUGUUCAAUGAAAAGAUCUAUUGCACUUAUGUUUGUGAGAUGCAAAAAUAAGGCAAAUGCCUAAAUACCGUAUCAUCUUGCAAAGAAUGUUGAAGCACAAAGAUUCACAAAACUGUAGCUUUUAAUGAAAAUAUUCAAUCUCAGAU
This 1735-nucleotide long non-coding RNA is filed under the name Homo sapiens (human). RNAcentral describes it as "non-protein coding lnc-CCDC125-22:1". The record is from RNAcentral. Lineage: Eukaryota; Metazoa; Chordata; Mammalia; Primates; Hominidae.